CCCUUAGAUGUUCGGGGCCGCACGCGCGCUACACUGAAGGACUCAGCGUGUCUCUCCCCCUAUCCCGAAAGGGAUGGGCAACCCGUUGAACCUCCUUCGUGCUAGGGAUUGGGGUUUGCAAUUAUCCCCCAUGAACGAGGAAUUCCCAGUAAGCGCGAGUCAUAAGCUCGCGUUGAUUACGUCCCUGCCCUUUGUACACACCGCCCGUCGCUACUACCGAUUGGAUGGUUUAGUGAGAUCCUUGGAUUGGUCCUGGCGUGGCGGGUCACCGCCGUGCCAGUGUGCCGAGAAGACGAUCGAACUUGAUCAUCUAGAGGAAGUAAAAGUCGUAACA
This 334-nucleotide ribosomal RNA is filed under the name uncultured eukaryote. Its description in RNAcentral is "partial 18S ribosomal RNA". It matches the Rfam family "Eukaryotic small subunit ribosomal RNA", at positions 1470 to 1796 of the family's 1831-position model. The record is from RNAcentral.